GCUUUUGUUCUGUUCUCACCGGAAAAGAGCCCAACAACCCAGCAGGGUGUUCCGAGUAGCCGCCGCCAAUGGAGAUCGGAAAAUCAAGCCUCCGUCUACACAGUCGCCUUUCUCUUCCCAAUCUCCGCUUCAUCGCUUUCUCAUCUUCAUUUUCGACUUCAACUCCAGCAGUAGACUUCCUAAACGACGCCGUCGAAGACGACAACGAUUCCUCCACCACCACCUCUUCCUCCUCCAAACCCACCACCGUUACUUCAUCCUUAUCACCAGCAGAAUCCCUUGUUGCGGAAAAGCUCCACUCUUUAAUCAAAAACCACCAUCGCAAAAACCCUACCUUAAACCCUAAUCCCAAUUCCCCGAACCCCAUAAACCCUGAUCUCACUCUCCCAACUCUCUCCUUCGAUUUAUCCAAAAUCUCCCCCGUCCACUCACUCUCUCCGGCCGUCAUUGUUCACGUAAUCGAGAAAUGUAGAUCCGUUCGUCACGGCAUACCCUUUUCUCAGACCUUGGCGUUCUUCAACUGGGCCAUUUCCCGUUCCGAAACCCUCAUUUCCCAUGAGCCUUAUAACGAGAUGAUUGACCUGGCCGGAAAGGUACGCCAAUUUGACGUCGCUUGGCAUUUGAUUAAUUUGAUGAGGAGUAAAAAUGUUGAAAUCCCAAUUGAAACUUUUUCGAUUUUGAUUCGCCGGUAUGUUCGUGCUGGCUUGGCUAAUGAGGCUGUGCAUGCCUUUAAUCGGAUGGAGGAUUAUGAUUGUAAGCCCGAUAGGAAUGCGUUUUCGAAGGUGAUUAGUGUUCUCUGUAAGAAGAGAAGGGCUGUUGAAGCUCAGUCAUUUUUUGAUAGUUUGAAAGAUAGGUUUGAGGCUGAUGUGGUAGUGUAUACUAGCUUAGUGCACGGGUGGUGCAGGGCUGGCAACAUGUCUGAGGCUGAGAGGGUUUUUGGUGAAAUGAAGGCAGCUGGGAUUCAACCCAAUGUGUAUACUUAUAGUAUUGUUAUCGAUGGUUUAUGUAGGUGUGGGCAAAUUACGCGUGCCCAUGAUGUUUUUGCUGAGAUGAUUGAUGUUGGAUGUGAGCCAAAUGCGAUCACUUUUAACAAUCUUAUGCGAGUACAUGUGAAAGCAGGGAGGACUGAGAAGGUGUUGCAAGUUUAUAAUCAGAUGAAGAGGCUAUCUUGUGUGCCGGAUGUGAUAACUUACAAUUUUUUGAUAGAGACUCAUUGUAGGGAUGGGAAUCGCGAGGAUGCGAUUAAAGUGUUAAAUUCGAUGGUUUAUAAAGGGUGUGAACCUAAUGUUCAUAGUUUUAACCCGAUUUUUAGGUGCAUUGCCAAGUCGGGGGAUGUCAAUGCUGCUCAGCGGUUGUUUGCAAGGAUGAAGGAAUUAAAGUGUCAAACUAAUACUGUGACAUAUAACAUUCUGAUGCAGAUGUUUGCUGAUUCAAAAUCUACAGACAUGAUUAUCAAGCUUAAGAAGGAAAUGGAUGAGAGUGAAGUUGAGCCUAACGUGAACACUUACAAAAUUUUGAUUUCAAUGUACUGCAAAAUGGGACAUUGGAAUAAUGCAUACAAGUAUUUUAGAGAGAUGAUAGAGCAGAAGUAUCUAAAACCAAGUCAGCAAGUUUACCAAAUGGUCUUGGAACAGCUUAGGAAGUCUGGCCAGAUGAAGAUGCAUGAGGAGCUGGUGGAGAAGAUGGUUUAUAGGGGAUUUGCUUCUCGUCCCUUGUAAAGGAUAGUUAAAAGUGGCUCAACCAGUUGAAUUUGGUGAUGGAUGACAACUGGUGAGCGCCGGAAUGGUGAUUUUGAACCUUCUCAUGAGGCAUCUUGGUUUGGAGCUCACGUCAUCUGUGGCAGUCCAACAUACGAGACAUCCUUUCUGCACCUCAAGCAGCUGCUAAUGGGGUGCUUCAUUGUUGGAAAACCCAGAGAACGAUGAAAUGUGUAGAUAAUUGCACUAUUUGGCUUCAAAAGAAGCUUGGCAAUUGGGAGUUUCUUCUUUAUCUGUACGUCGCUUUGCAUUGGAAGUUCUAAUGCAGCUUUCCUUAGUCUGUUUCUUUGUAGGGUAGAGAAGGGUUAUGUUUGCAGUAGGUGACAAGGAUUGUGAGAAAGUGCAGAAAUGUUUUAGCUAUUGUACUUCGGGCUGUAUCAUUUGUGGAACUAGCAUUACAUUUUGUCUCCAUGAAAUCAGGCUUACCUGUUUGGCAGUGUGCUGCUAGCAGUCUUUCCUGGAACAUGAGCGCAUUGAAUAUAAUUAAGACUUGGUUGUCUAUAACUUGGCUGCCACAACAUAGCCAAAGCAACGAGGAAGGCUAUUAUUGGACCGUUAAGGAAUGGUUUAUGUUUUAAUCAUUGAACAAUAAUCUAAACCUCAUUUAAACUUGACCAAAAGUUUCAUCCUAUUUGUAAAUUUUAAAUCUUCCUACUCCCACUGUCAAUUUCCCCUAUGUUUUAUUGUAUAGAAUUACAAGUGGUUGCAAAA
Coffea arabica (coffee) is the source of this 2468-nucleotide non-coding RNA. The record is from RefSeq and is a predicted model, not a curated record. NCBI's taxonomy places the organism in Eukaryota, Viridiplantae, Streptophyta, Magnoliopsida, Gentianales, Rubiaceae.